CGGUAUGCAUCUCAAUGGACCUGAUA
RNAcentral lists this unclassified non-coding RNA (26 nucleotides) under Phytophthora cactorum. RNAcentral describes it as "partial miscellaneous RNA". Lineage: Eukaryota; Oomycota; Peronosporomycetes; Peronosporales; Peronosporaceae. The record is from RNAcentral.